AAGCUGUGCUAAUACCGCAUACGAUCUACGGAUGAAAGCAGGGGAUCGCAAGACCUUGCGCGAAUGGAGCGGCCGAUGGCAGAUUAGGUAGUUGGUGAGGUAAAGGCUCACCAAGCCUUCGAUCUGUAGCUGGUCUGAGAGGACGACCAGCCACACUGGGACUGAGACACGGCCCAGACUCCUACGGGAGGCAGCAGUGGGGAAUUUUGGACAAUGGGCGAAAGCCUGAUCCAGCCAUGCCGCGUGCAGGAUGAAGGCCUGCGGGCUGUUAACUGCUUUUGUACGGAACGAAAAGGCCUUUUCUAAUAAAGAGGGCUAAUGACGGUACCGUAAGAAUAAGCACCGGCUAACUACGUGCCAGCAGCCGCGGUAAUACGUAGGGGGCAAGCGUUAAUCGGAAUUACUGGGCGUAAAGCGUGCGCAGGCGGUUAUGUAAGACAGUUGUGAAAUCCCCGGGCUCAACCUGGGAACUGCAUCUGUGACUGCAUAGCUAGAGUACGGUAGAGGGGGAUGGAAUUCCGCGUGUAGCAGUGAAAUGCGUAGAUAUGCGGAG
This 553-nucleotide ribosomal RNA is filed under the name Variovorax sp. B11. RNAcentral describes it as "bacterial SSU rRNA". It matches the Rfam family "Bacterial small subunit ribosomal RNA", at positions 155 to 703 of the family's 1533-position model. Lineage: Bacteria; Pseudomonadati; Pseudomonadota; Betaproteobacteria; Burkholderiales; Comamonadaceae. The record is from RNAcentral.